ACCAUCAGGCUGAUGGUUAAAGCAGGUUAACCAUCAGGCUGAUGGUUAAAGCAGGUUAACUAUCAGCCUGAUGGUUAAAGCAGGUUAACCAUCAGCCUGAUGGUUAAGGCAGGUUAACCAUCAGCCCGAUGGUUAAAGCAGGUUAACUAUCAGCCCGAUGGUUAAAGCAGGUUAUCCAUCAGCCUGAUGGUUAAAGCAGGUGAACUCAGAGGUUGUUAAUAGUUAGCUGACAGCUGUGCGGCCCCAGGCCUGGUGAGCUUCACGAGGCAGUGAAUCAAUCUCCUCUGCUGCAGGAAUGUGGGCCUCGCUCCAAUGGAAGCUGUUGAUCUAAACUGCUGAAGAGAUAUUUACUAUGUUUGUCAGAGGACUAAUUUAUCUCGGUUAAGAUCUUGGCAUGUCUUGUGAGAAGCACUUAUUUAAGUAAAUUAUCAUCCAAGAUUUGGUCGACGAUUUCACAUAGUAUAUUUUAUGGAUUAGUCAAUGAAUGAUUGGAUUUAUCUAUAACUAAUCUUAUUAACGGAGCACUAAUCUGAGUUUGUGAAUUUUGACCAGAUAGUGAAACUAUCUGACAUCAUUAUUGACAUAACAUUGAAUAAAUAAGAAGGCCUUCCAGAGUCCUUCACAUCUAUGGUGAUAUAGUUUGAUUAACCCAACAUGUUAAUGAGCUAAUAUCUAUUAGUCAGCUGGGGUCAGGUCUCUUCUCCGUUGGCCCCCUGUGUUGAUCCCUCCGCCUGUAGAGAGUGAUGAUGGCCCAGCUCUGGUGUCUGAGGACCUCCUGGUAGGACUAGUGCCGGAGACACAGUGGUCCCCUGUAGCGUUCUGUUGUGUUUGGCAGCCAACCACUCAAGAGGGUAUCAUCAUUUAAAGUCAAACGUGAUUAUUUUCUGCAUUUUGGGACUUUUGAGGGAAAAAGCCAUUUCAAAACAACUAACUAUUGUACCUCACCAAAUCUAUUUACAUGAAAUUGAACCAUAAUGGAUAUUCUAUAAACGGAUUGUAUGAUGGUAAUAUCAUUUGUUAGUACGGGUUGGAUAGCGGUUGUGGGUAUAAGGGUACCAUUGAUUCUGUUCCAGCGUCAGGUCGCCUGUGCUCUGCUAGUGCCCGUUGGUUCUGCAGGUUAGUCCUGAAACUGGUUGUGUGGAGCGUGCAUGAGGCUGCCUCACUCUGAGGUCACGUGCACACUGCCUCUCGGAGCCUCGCCCUGACCAGGGGCACACGGCCUCAUGGGGGUCAGGGGGUAGGACCAGUGACCCAGACCAGUGGACCCAGACCAGUGACUCAGACCAGUGGACCCAGACCAGUGGACCCAGACCAGUGGACCCAGACCAGUGGACCCAGACCAGUGGACCCAGACCAGUGAAUCAGACCAGUGGACCCAGACCAGUGAAUCAGACCAGUGACCCAGACCAGUGGACCCAGACCAGUGACUCAGACCAGUGGACCCAGACCAGUGGACCCAGAACAUGGACCCAGACCAGUGGACCCAGACCAGUGGACCCAGACCAGUGGACCCAGAACAGUGGACCCAGACCAGUGGACCCAGACCAGUGAAUCAGACCAGUGAAUCAGACCAGUGGACCCAGACCAGUGGACCCAGACCAGUGGACCCAGACCAGUGGACCCAGACCAGUGGACCCAGACCAGUGACCCAGACCAGUGGACCUAGAACAGUGAAUCAGACCAGUGACCCAGACUAGUGGACCCAGAACAGUGAAUCAGACCAGUGGACCCAGACCAGUGGACCCAGACCAGUGAAUCAGACCAGUGGACUCAGACCAGUGGACUCAGACCAGUGGACCCAGACCAGUGGACCCAGACCAGUGGACCCAGACCAGUGGACCCAGACCAGUGGACCCAGACCAGUGGAUUCAGACCCCAGGGGUUCAGACCAAGCAGGUCCACCAGCCCCUCUCUCUCCUCUCCUGUCUAGAACACGCUCCUGUCUGUCUGUAACCCGUCUGUCUGUCUAUCCUGUCUAGAACACGCUCCUGUCUGUCUGUAACCCGUCUGUCUGGCUAUCCUGUCUAGAACACGUUCCUUUCCUCGUACAUGAAUGUGUGUGUGUGUGUGUGUGUGUGUGUGUGUGUGUGUGUGUGUGUGUGUGUGUGUGUGUGUGUGUGUGUGUGUGUGUGUGUGUGUGUGUGUGUGUGUGUGUGUGUGUGUGUGUGUGUGUGUGU
Long non-coding RNA from Gadus macrocephalus (Pacific cod), 2177 nucleotides. RefSeq lists it as uncharacterized. NCBI's taxonomy places the organism in Eukaryota, Metazoa, Chordata, Actinopteri, Gadiformes, Gadidae. The record is from RefSeq and is a predicted model, not a curated record. The transcript is spliced from 3 exons.